UCUACUGGCUAAAAGCAGAUCCUUCCAAUGUAUUUGACUAUGUUGCCCCCUACGGAUCCAGCUUAGAGACUCUCUGGCCUAGUUUCCAAAGAACGAUACUGGUUCACAUUUGUCAGAAGAUAUCAGAGCACAGAAGUGACUCCAAUCCUCGAAGUCCACUUCCAAGGACUGAGAAAUCUUGAGAACCUUGGAAAAGUGUAAGCCAGUACUGACAAUUAGAAGGAUUGGAUUCGUGCAAUGGCAAAAUUGCUGCCUUCACAUGAUAUCCUGGAUUGCAGCGAAUGGAGUUGCAUGUUGCACCCCUGAAUGUCCCCAUUCCUUAUCUGAACCCAUCGGUGACCCCGGAUGACAUAGGCAAAGACUCA
RNAcentral lists this long non-coding RNA (365 nucleotides) under Cricetulus griseus (Chinese hamster). RNAcentral's name for it is "lncRNA (ENSCGRG00015039350.1)". Lineage: Eukaryota; Metazoa; Chordata; Mammalia; Rodentia; Cricetidae. The record is from RNAcentral.